Synchiropus splendidus (mandarinfish) is the source of this 2370-nucleotide long non-coding RNA. RefSeq lists it as uncharacterized. Lineage: Eukaryota; Metazoa; Chordata; Actinopteri; Syngnathiformes; Callionymidae. The transcript is spliced from 3 exons. The record is from RefSeq and is a predicted model, not a curated record.
CUUCCGGAAUCCCAUAGUGGAGGAACUAAGAUGGCGUAGUUGGAGGAGAGUGAGGAGAAGACGGAGGAUUCGUCUCCUCUUCUCCCCUCAGAAGGGGGACGUGGGCCUCAAAACAGAGUUAAACGUACCAGCGUUGAGGAAUUCCUCCGGCUUUUGUUUACCAUCGUCCCUGCAUCACUUCGGACCAGCGUCCUCCAAGUUCAGUGACAUGGAGGAUUGGGGACAGUUGGCAGAUGUGUUUUUUGUCUGUGCACCGGUGAAACAUCAGUGUGACAAGCAGACCUGUUCAGGAUGACCUGCAAGGACCACGGCGCCCUCCUCCCUGCUGUUGUCCCACAUUCUUCAUUUCUUCAGCGCCGUUUUUUUUCUGAAAUCUAAGCAUGGUAUUGGCAGCAUGCUAUAUUUUUUUCAUUAUUCGAUGUAGCCAAGCAUUGACUAUGUUUGACUGAAAAUGUCCAGCCUGGACGUUUUCAAGCAAAUAUUUUAGAGGGCAAGUAAAUGAAACAUUUUCUAAAUCACUUAAGACACAGAACACUGUAGCAACAACCACAACGCCUGUGAUCAGUUCACUUGGAUUUAGUUUUUUAUGCUACCUCAUUGCCAUUAACAAUAAUGACUAGGAUAAGCAGCCUAGUCUUGGUGAAGCACCACAGAGUGUUCCAUUUAAAUCGAACCAAACUAAUCCAUCUGCACCUAUUAUUCACCUUUAGGUCAUGAUGGAAAGAAGUAGCUCUAACACCAAACAACAAAAUUUAUUGGACAGCGUCAGCUCCUUUGUUUGCAAACAGCUUAACUUCCAUAUCUUCAUGUAUUAACCUCAUUUUUUAAAAAUAAUUAUUAUCAUGACUUCAAUUCUUGGAAAGUUUUUUUUGUAUUUUCAAAGCAUCUUUAUGUUCAACACUGAAAUUGCGUCCAAGCCUUAACGGAAAAAAAAACAAAAAUCAUCCUGUCACGUUUUUGUUUGAUACUUUUGCUCUGAUUUUAAUUUUAGAAAUCAUAAAAGGGGAUAUGUGCAAUAUUUUGAUCCUAACUGUCAUGUUGUUAACCAAACUGUAUAUUGUAUAAACAAGUGACAAGUUGUUUGAAAGCAACAAAAUCACCAAUGUCUUCCAUUAAGAUAUGUAUAGAUUCAUUUGCUUACUUAGGGGGGCAACAUUAUAGUUGUCAUGCAUGCGUAGUUGUGAUGCUUGCUUCAUGAGUUAUGAUGAAACCAUCAUCUUUUUUAGGAACACAAACUGAAGCUUCUAACAAUGAACAAUAUUUGAAACACAGGCAAAUUCUUUUCUCUUCAAAGAUGAAUUAAUCUUAUCUUUUAAUGCAGCCUAGCAACAACAUGAGAUACUGUCUUUUGAGUAUUGAGUUUAAAGAGUAGCCAAAGCCUACCCCUCAAAAAGGAAAGUAUUGAUGAAAGAAACAUGUUACUGGUCCAAAAUAGUCUUUUGUAUUCUCGAUGGUUCUUCAUCCGUGUUGGAUUCCUUAUAUUUAAAUCCAUAAAUUGUAUUGGAUUAGGAUUUUAGAAGCAAUAAAGACAAUUAUGCAUGAGUUAAAUGUUAAAAAGACUCACUUCUCAUCAUGUAGCGAUAGAGGUCAUUAUAGCUAUGGUGUAGCGUAAUCCCUUCACUUCAGUUGUCAUUCAGAUACCAAAACUCUGAUCAGUAUGUGAGAGAUGCUUCAUUGUAAAUACAAUGUUUCUUUUCCUUGUAGCAUUUUACACGUUUGACCAACCCUAGUUUUGUAGCUAUUCUGAUCUAGCUGCAAAAGACUGAGCUAACUUUUUGACAAUGCACUUUUUCUCCAUGUGCAUCUUCCUCAUCCUGUUCUGAGUACUGUGUUUGAAAAGAGCCUGUUUGCAACUCGUGGGGAUUUAUAAUCAAACGUUUUGAGCCACUUGGCCUCCAGAAUAUAUGGGUUUAAAAUAUAUGCAUGACUUAGCAGAACAGUGAAUGAUUUGUAUUGCAUGCAAUAACCGAAGUUUGUAAUGUGAAUGAGUGUUAUUAGAAAGCUGACACUUGCUCUGUGACAAGCAUAGAGGUCGGUGUUAAAAAACAGCAAGCAUGUUGCAGCGGUUUUGACAACCCUUUGAUGCAGAGCAACCAAUAGGACAAAAUGUAGAAAAAUAUGUUUACCAAGGGUGAAACCGAUAAACCUUUAGUCACGAUAGAAAACUUUACACUAGAUGUUGCUGGUAUAUCUCCACCAAAGUGGGUGGCUGUGUAGAAACUAUGCACUCCAGAGGGAGGAAGUGGGCAUGCUUAUUAUGUGUGAGCCUCUUGUCUGGUUUUGUAUCAAGAAAAAGAGAAAAAAAGUAACAAAAUUUCAGCAAUAAAAUGCAGCAUGGUGCCAAUGGCUCUCUGGCUUUUUGUCCCUCUU